RNAcentral lists this small RNA (21 nucleotides) under Arabidopsis thaliana (thale cress). Its description in RNAcentral is "ATSL221510". Lineage: Eukaryota; Viridiplantae; Streptophyta; Magnoliopsida; Brassicales; Brassicaceae. The record is from RNAcentral.
UACCCGCAUCCGCUUCUUGCU